This 482-nucleotide ribosomal RNA is filed under the name uncultured bacterium. RNAcentral's name for it is "partial 16S ribosomal RNA". It matches the Rfam family "Bacterial small subunit ribosomal RNA", at positions 30 to 507 of the family's 1533-position model. The record is from RNAcentral.
AUUGAACGCUGGCGGCACGCCUUACACAUGCAAGUCGAACGGUAACGGGCCUUCGGGUGCCGACGAGUGGCGAACGGGUGAGUAAUACAUCGGAACGUGCCCGAUCGUGGGGGAUAACGAGGCGAAGGCUUUGCUAAUACCGCAUACGAUCUACGGAUGAAAGCAGGGGACCGCAAGGCCUUGCGCGGACGGAGCGGCCGAUGGCAGAUUAGGUAGUUGGUGGGAUAAAAGCUUACCAAGCCGACGAUCUGUAGCUGGUCUGAGAGGAUGAUCAGCCACACUGGGACUGAGACACGGCCCAGACUCCUACGGGAGGCAGCAGUGGGGAAUUUUGGACAAUGGGCGCAAGCCUGAUCCAGCCAUGCCGCGUGCAGGAUGAAGGCCUUCGGGUUGUAAACUGCUUUUGUACGGAACGAAAAGCCUUCUUUUAAUACAGGAGGGUCAUGACGGUACCGUAAGAAUAAGCACCGGCUAACUACGUG